Long non-coding RNA from Limulus polyphemus (Atlantic horseshoe crab), 160 nucleotides. RefSeq lists it as uncharacterized. The transcript is spliced from 2 exons. The record is from RefSeq and is a predicted model, not a curated record. NCBI's taxonomy places the organism in Eukaryota, Metazoa, Arthropoda, Merostomata, Xiphosura, Limulidae.
AAUGUUCCCAAUUAAUAACAUGUAGAUGGCGCUGGUAAAUAUAAGUGAGAAAAGCACUUCGUGUAGGAAUGAAACUCAUAAAAGAUAUAUAUUAAUGCAUCUUCCCCUUUGCUGUGACUUGUCGUGGAUAUGGAUGUUGUUGAACCUAUAUAAGGACAGA